Molecule: ribosomal RNA, 475 nt
Filed under: uncultured bacterium
Lineage: Bacteria
Description: bacterial SSU rRNA
Rfam family: Bacterial small subunit ribosomal RNA
Source: RNAcentral
GACGAACGCUGGCGGCGUGCCUAACACAUGCAAGUCGAGCGGGGUUGAGGCGAGAGGUAACUCGAACUUCUACCUAGCGGCGGACGGGUGAGUAACGCGUGGGCAACCUGCCUCAAGGUUUGGGAUAACAGCCCGAAAGGGCUGCUAAUACCGGAUAUGCCUAUGGCCUCGCAUGGGGCUAUGAGCAAAGGGGAAACCCGCCUUGAGAUGGGCCCGCGUCCCAUCAGCUAGUUGGUGAGGUAACAGCUCACCAAGGCGACGACGGGUAGCCGGCCUGAGAGGGUGACCGGCCACACUGGGACUGAGACACGGCCCAGACUCCUACGGGGGGCAGCAGUGGGGGAUCUUGCACAAUGGGCGAAAGCCUGAUGCAGCGACGCCGCGUGAGCGAAGAAGGCCUUCGGGUUGUAAAGCUCUGUCUGGAGGGACGAACAAAAUGACGGUACCUCCGGAGGAAGCCACGGCUAACUACGUG